GUCCUCGUAGCUUACAAACCUUAAAGCAUGACACUGAAGAUGUCAAGACGGCUGCUAACGCUUCCCGAGGACA
Molecule: transfer RNA, 73 nt
Filed under: Indicator maculatus (spotted honeyguide)
Lineage: Eukaryota; Metazoa; Chordata; Aves; Piciformes; Indicatoridae
Description: tRNA-Phe
Source: RNAcentral